GUAUCCUGGCUCAGGAUGAACGCUAGCUACAGGCUUAACACAUGCAAGUCGAGGGGCAGCAUGGUCUUAGCUUGCUAAGGCCGAUGGCGACCGGCGCACGGGUGAGUAACGCGUAUCCAACCUGCCUUACACUCUUGGACAGCCUUCUGAAAGGGAGGUUAAUACAAGAUGUUAUCAUGAGUAAGCAUUUUCACAUGAUUAAAGGUUUACCGGUGUAAGAUGGGGAUGCGUUCCAUUAG
This 239-nucleotide ribosomal RNA is filed under the name uncultured bacterium. Its description in RNAcentral is "partial 16S ribosomal RNA". It matches the Rfam family "Bacterial small subunit ribosomal RNA", at positions 14 to 244 of the family's 1533-position model. The record is from RNAcentral.